GACGAACGCUGGCGGCGUGCCUAAUACAUGCAAGUAGAACGCUGAAGGAGGAGCUUGCUUCUCUGGAUGAGUUGCGAACGGGUGAGUAACGCGUAGGUAACCUGCCUUGUAGUGGGGGAUAACUAUUGGAAACGAUAGCUAAUACCGCAUAAUAGCAGUUGUUGCAUGAUAACUGUUUGAAAGGUGCAAUUGCACCGCUACCAGAUGGACCUGCGUUGUAUUAGCUAGUUGGUGGGGUAACGGCUCACCAAGGCGACGAUACAUAGCCGACCUGAGAGGGUGAUCGGCCACACUGGGACUGAGACACCGCACAGACUCCUACGGGCGGCAGCAGUAGGUACUCUUCGGCACUGGACGGAAGUCUGCCCGAGCAACGCAGCGUGAGUGAAGAAGGUCUUCGGAUCGUAAAGCUCUGUUGUAGUGAAGAACGAGUGUGAGAGUGGAAAGUUCACACUGUGACGGUAUCUUACCAGAAAGGGACGGCUAACUACGU
RNAcentral lists this ribosomal RNA (493 nucleotides) under uncultured bacterium. Its description in RNAcentral is "partial 16S ribosomal RNA". It matches the Rfam family "Bacterial small subunit ribosomal RNA", at positions 28 to 506 of the family's 1533-position model. The record is from RNAcentral.